This 253-nucleotide ribosomal RNA is filed under the name uncultured bacterium. Its description in RNAcentral is "partial 16S ribosomal RNA". It matches the Rfam family "Bacterial small subunit ribosomal RNA", at positions 524 to 776 of the family's 1533-position model. The record is from RNAcentral.
UACGAAGGGGGCGAGCGUUGUUCAGAAUUACUGGGCGUAAAGGGCGCGCAGGCGGCUCUGAAAGUCAGAUGUGAAAGCCCCGGGCUUAACCUGGGAAUUGCAUUUGAUACUCUGGAGCUUGAGUACGGGAGAGGAGAGUGGAAUUCCCAGUGUAGAGGUGAAAUUCGUAGAUAUUGGGAAGAACACCGGUGGCGAAGGCGGCUCUCUGGGACGGUACUGACGCUGAGACGCGAAAGCGUGGGGAGCGAACAGG